UGCGUAGGCGGUUUAUUAAGUCAGUGGUGAAAGACGGUCGCUCAACGAUUGCAGUGCCAUUGAUACUGGUAGACUUGAGUGUGAUUGAGGUAGCUGGAAUGGAUAGUGUAGCGGUGAAAUGCGUAGAGAUCUGGAGGAAUACCGAUUGCGAAGGCAGCCCCCUGGACAGUGACUGACGCUCAUAUGCGAAAGCGUGGGGAUCAAACAGGAUUAGAUACCCCCGUA
RNAcentral lists this ribosomal RNA (225 nucleotides) under uncultured Flectobacillus sp. Its description in RNAcentral is "partial 16S ribosomal RNA". It matches the Rfam family "Bacterial small subunit ribosomal RNA", at positions 568 to 792 of the family's 1533-position model. Lineage: Bacteria; Pseudomonadati; Bacteroidota; Cytophagia; Cytophagales; Flectobacillaceae. The record is from RNAcentral.